This 529-nucleotide ribosomal RNA is filed under the name Torellia exilis. RNAcentral describes it as "partial large subunit ribosomal RNA". It matches the Rfam family "Bacterial large subunit ribosomal RNA", at positions 1819 to 2618 of the family's 2925-position model. The record is from RNAcentral. Lineage: Eukaryota; Metazoa; Mollusca; Gastropoda; Littorinimorpha; Capulidae.
GGCUCUUUGAUUAUAUAAUAUAAAGAGUCGGACCUGCCCAGUGAGAUAUAUCUUUAACGGCCGCGGUACUCUGACCGUGCAAAGGUAGCAUAAUCAUUUGCCCCAUAAUUGGGGGCUAGUAUGAAUGGUUUGACAAGAGCAAAUCUGUCUCUAUACAAUUUUAUAGAAUUUAAUCUUCAGCUGAAGAAGCCUGAAUUUAAUUAAAAGACAAGAAGACCCUAUCGAGCUUAAAAAACAUUGUAGGGUGUUAGAUAUAUUAUAUAAAUUAAUUUCCUAUGAGAAUUUUGGUUGGGGCGACUAAGGAACAGGUAAAGCUUCUUCUUAUUAAAAAGUAGGCACACAAUGAUCCAGAAAUUCUGAUUAAAGGAAUUAGUUACCGUAGGGAUAACAGCAUAAUCUUUUUUAAGAGUUCUUAUCGAAAAAAAGGCUUGUGACCUCGAUGUUGGACCAGAAUAUCCUAAAGAUGCAACCGUCUUUAAGGGUUGGUCUGUUCGACCAUUAAAAUUCUACGUGAUCUGAGUUCAGACCG